GACGAACGCUGGCGGCGUGCUUAACACAUGCAAGUCGAACGGAAAGGCCCUGCUUGCAGGGUACUCGAGUGGCGAACGGGUGAGUAACACGUGGGUGAUCUGCCCUGCACUUCGGGAUAAGCCUGGGAAGCUGGGUCUAAUACCGGAUAGGAGCCAUUUUUAGUGUGAUGGUUGGAAAGUUUUUUCGGUGUAGGAUGAGCUCGCGGCCUAUCAGCUUGUUGGUGGGGUAAUGGCCUACCAAGGCGGCGACGGGUAGCCGGCCUGAGAGGGUGGACGGCCACAUUGGGACUGAGAUACGGCCCAGACUCCUACGGGAGGCAGCAGUGGGGAAUAUUGCACAAUGGGCGCAAGCCUGAUGCAGCGACGCCGCGUGGGGGAUGACGGCCUUCGGGUUGUAAACUCCUUUCGCUAGGGACGAAGCUUUUUGUGACGGUGCCUAGAUAAGAAGCACCGGCUAACUACGUG
RNAcentral lists this ribosomal RNA (465 nucleotides) under uncultured bacterium. RNAcentral's name for it is "partial 16S ribosomal RNA". It matches the Rfam family "Bacterial small subunit ribosomal RNA", at positions 28 to 507 of the family's 1533-position model. The record is from RNAcentral.